AGUUCUAAUCUAAAUCGUGAAAAAUUAGACGAAUAUUUUUGUUGUUUGUCGAUAUUUACGUCUGGAAAGAAAUAUCCAUAAUAAAUGGUAGUCAAAAAGUAGAGUCAAAUAAAUGUAAAUUGAUCUCCCGUCUCCCACUUAAGUCAAGAUCACGGCUCAUUGCUAAUUACUAAGUGGCGAAGACUGUCUAGGAUGCAGGCAGAUUUCUCUCUCUCCAGAGCCUCUUCGAAGAAGCUGAGGGCUGAACGUGGGAUCUUUGAAGGAAGAGCAUGAAAUGAAGCUCGCUCCGCAGACCAAUUGCAUGCAACUGAGUCGACUCAUUUCUCCUUUUCGGUCUCUGCAUCCUCAGCACAGUUUCCUACGAAGUCGAGGCUCCCGCCCCUCCCCCGUUUCUCGCAACGAUCCAGGCUGAGUCGAAGACGAGGGAAAGGGGGCAAUGAAAUAUUUUGCCCAUUUGUUUUCCGUCGUCGAGGGAGAAGAUGGAAAGAGAAGGAAUGGAAAACGUCACGGUCUUUUGGGGCUGGUUUUUUGGAAUGGCCCCCAAUCCACAUUGAGGUAUUUAGAGGCUAUGGAUUAUUUCAAGAACGUAAGAAGAGUCCAUCUGGAUCAGACAGAGUCAUCUAUUUUAUGGAACUGGCUA
Molecule: long non-coding RNA, 640 nt
Filed under: Salvator merianae (Argentine black and white tegu)
Lineage: Eukaryota; Metazoa; Chordata; Lepidosauria; Squamata; Teiidae
Description: lncRNA (ENSSMRG00000018168.1)
Source: RNAcentral